This 803-nucleotide long non-coding RNA is filed under the name Nicotiana benthamiana. RNAcentral describes it as "long non-coding RNA (NBEN_LNC006352)". Lineage: Eukaryota; Viridiplantae; Streptophyta; Magnoliopsida; Solanales; Solanaceae. The record is from RNAcentral.
AUACAACUUGUCAUGGAAAGUCAUUUACACACUUAAACGUUGUGAGUAUUCUAAUACCUCACUGUUAUUUGAAGAACUGUAUUUAUUUACUCCCUCAUAAGACAUGACUCAGCUAUAUUAAUUUGAGUGAGAAACAAGCGCUUUAUCAAUAUGUCUUUCCUCUAUCUAAUUUUCGUAGCACAUUAUAUAUUUUCUUGUCAUCUUCCUAUCUUUUCUUCUCAAUUCAAGAAUUCCAAAUACCAAUUCAUCCCCCACUAAAAAUUCAGAAAAGAAAAAAAAAAGAAUUGCAUAAAAACCAAGAAAAAAAUACUGUUUAAUUCAACGGAAAAAUUUGAUUAUGGGUAUACAAAACAUUUAGACCUCCUCUGUUCUUCCAAAAAAGAGAAACAGUAAAAGAAAGAAUAAGGGAAAAUUGUGUAUGAUACACGAUUAAGUUAUUACGAUGAGUACAUCGGGGCUGUUAUUUCCUUGUGUUCUUUUCUCAUACGUCUUCAAGGAUGCUACCAUUUAAUAAAAUGCUUUCAUAAUUGAAAGAUUUUAUCUUUGACUUGUAUCUAUUUUGUUAGUCUGGAAAGAUGAGUUCUAUUCCAAUGUUUGGUCUGCACCACAAUUUUCUCUGGGAACAGAACUCCAAAAAUCCUUUUAAAUUAGGUGUAUCCUUUCAAAUAUAUGAUUAGAUUCUUAGCAUUAAGAAAUAAUUUAUUACUGAAAUAUAAUGUUCUUUGCCACAUACAAAUAUAUGAAGUUUUAGAUUACGACUGACGAGAGAUUUUUAGUAACUGCCAUAUUUGGGAAGUCAUGUG